GAUGAACGCUGGCGGCGUGCCUAAUACAUGCAAGUCGAGCGAACGGACGAGAAGCUUGCUUCUCUGAUGUUAGCGGCGGACGGGUGAGUAACACGUGGAUAACCUACCUAUAAGACUGGGAUAACUUCGGGAAACCGUAGCUAAUACCGGAUAAUAUUUUGAACCGCAUGGUUCAAAAGUGAAAGACGGUCUUGCUGUCACUUAUAGAUGGAUCCGCGCUGCAUUAGCUAGUUGGUAAGGUAACGGCUUACCAAGGCAACGAUGCAUAGCCGACCUGAGAGGGUGAUCGGCCACACUGGAACUGAGACACGGUCCAGACUCCUACGGGAGGCAGCAGUAGGGAAUCUUCCGCAAUGGGCGAAAGCCUGACGGAGCAACGCCGCGUGAGUGAUGAAGGUCUUCGGAUCGUAAAACUCCGUUAUUAGGGAAGAACAUAUGUGUAAGUAACUGUGCACAUCUUGACGGUACCUAAUCAGAAAGCCACGGCUAACUACGU
Molecule: ribosomal RNA, 496 nt
Filed under: uncultured bacterium
Lineage: Bacteria
Description: partial 16S ribosomal RNA
Rfam family: Bacterial small subunit ribosomal RNA
Source: RNAcentral